Phrynosoma platyrhinos (Desert horned lizard) is the source of this 68-nucleotide non-coding RNA. Lineage: Eukaryota; Metazoa; Chordata; Lepidosauria; Squamata; Phrynosomatidae. The record is from the annotation of a GenBank genome assembly.
GCCCAUGUGGCAUAGCGGUUUCAGUGUUAGACUAGGAUUCUAGAGACCAUGGUUCAAUUCCCUGGUCA